UCUUUAACUUGAAUUGAGGCAGCAAAUUUAUUAACCAUAACACAUUAUUCAAUUCAUAUAAACCCCAUCUCAAUCAACUAGAAGCCCUUUACAAUUGCACCUUACGGACAAUUAUUUCUAAGAAAAUUGUAUUGCAAUUUUCUUCUUGGUUUGGAAGAUUUGUGUGCAAAGGUGUUGGGAAGGCUCAUCUCCAGUUCAUCUUAUCACCUUUUCUUCAAAUAAUUAAGGUAAGAAUUCAAUAAUCCUUCUAAAUAAGUUUAUCUUAAACUUAGAGAAAUCCACUUUAAUUUCUUAUUGAUGUAGAAAUAAAGGUUCUUGUAGUGUAUUUGAGGAGGAUUUGGUUAUGUUGAAGGGCUGGAAAUAUAGUUAUAAAUAUGGAUAUGUGUUGUUAUCCUUGCCGUUCAAGGUAAUAUUAUACCCUUCUCCAUGUAUUUGAGGCCAUUUGGAUCAUAGUUUGGUUAUUAAUGAAGUGUUGUAGUUGUUGAACGAUUUUGAGUGGUUUCUUAAGGUAUCCUAUGGCUGAAAAUUGUGAAGUAUAGUUGUUUGUGAUGGUGGUUGUAUUGUGAGUAGAGGAGAAGAGCUAGUAGUGUUGAAUUACCAUUGUAGGAUGAGAUGAAGCUUAUGCACUCUAAGUGUUUGAUAAAAUGACUCAGUGAAUCCAAUUCUUGGUUUAUUGAUUCGAUUAUGAUCCAAAUAAUUUAUAUAAUGUAGAUUAUCAUUCGUAGAGCGUACGGGAACUCGUGAGCUAUCGCUAGCCAAGCAAUAAUGGUAUGUUAAGGUUAUCCCUUCUUUCCUUUUGGUAUGAUCCAUACGAUACAAACGAAAUAGACAAACAUACAAUUUUCAUAAAUGCCUCUAUUCAUAGAAGCACUAGGGGUACCUAUGUUGUUGAUUCCCCAUAUUUUUUCUUAUUAUAUCUUCUUUUCAUGGGUCCUAGAAAAAUACGUAGUUGAUAAAGUUUAUCCGAAGGUAUAUUGAUCUUAUGACAUUCUGAGAGAUCUUAUUGACUUACUUCAUUAUGCAUUGCAUUCAUUUAUACAUGUAUAUUGACCCAUGACCAGAUGGCGUUAUAUACAUGUAUAUUAUAUGUAUAUGGGAUAUGGGGAAAGGUUAUGGCAUUAUAUACGCACCUCCACCUGAUCAGUUGGUAUACGUUGAUGAUUUCGCCCACAGAGGCCGAGAUGAUAUGAUGGGAUGCCCUCAGAGGCUUGAUGAUGUUAUGUACGCAUAUACCUAUGCAUGAUAUGACAUUUAUACGCAUAUGCAUGACAUUAUAAAAGUUUCAUGAUUCACAAAGCUAUUCAGACUCACGGGUUGAGUCCUUUACUCCAUGUUUCUUUUAUGUCUUUUACAUACUAUUUUCCAUGCCUUACAUACUCGGUACAUUAUUUGUACUGACGCCCCUAUUGCUUGGGGCCUACAUUUCAUGCCCGCAGGUGCAGGUAGACAGGUUGACAGUCCCCCUUCUUAGG
RNAcentral lists this long non-coding RNA (1472 nucleotides) under Nicotiana tabacum (common tobacco). Its description in RNAcentral is "long non-coding RNA (NTAB_LNC011251)". Lineage: Eukaryota; Viridiplantae; Streptophyta; Magnoliopsida; Solanales; Solanaceae. The record is from RNAcentral.